RNAcentral lists this long non-coding RNA (631 nucleotides) under Homo sapiens (human). Its description in RNAcentral is "long intergenic non-protein coding RNA 1988". Lineage: Eukaryota; Metazoa; Chordata; Mammalia; Primates; Hominidae. The record is from RNAcentral.
AGGAAAUGGACCUUGGCAAACGUGUGUCAGGAGAGGAUGACUUGGAGGUGUCCACCGUGUUUCUUACUGAAGAUGUCUAAAAGUCAAUUGGGGUCAAGGAACAAGCCUCUACUCACAUGCAUGUGGGCAAAUGAAGUCACAGAACAAAUAACCUACCCUGCAUCCAGGCACGGAGUCCAGGGACACCCCCUGCUGCUGCCUAAGAGAAAGUGGCCCAAGAAGCACUGGCCCGGUGCCUGCUGAUGCCAGGAGCCCUCUGCUACUGCCUGACACAAGCAUCCUGCGCUUCCCCCUCCCAGGCCCUCCCCGAAAGCGUGGGCCACAGGUACCACUCCCUAUGCCACUGAGCCCCACAUUUCCCAUCCCCCAAGCCACUCCCACCAGCCCCAGAGCUUUCCUACAUUUAUGAUUUGUCCAAAAAUGUGAUGCCCUUCAGCCCCCAGAAGGUCAUCCUCCAGGCUGUGAUCGUCACACAGGGGGUCCCACAUGGGGUCCUCACAGGCCUUCAACCCAGCACAAAUCGUGGCCUGGUUUGACCUUUGAAAUAUCUCAACAUCUAAAAUUCAGAGCUUUUUUGGAAUAUUUAUUUUCCAUAGAUAUAAUUCUUUCAAAUAAAUUCCUUAGAAAACAA